RNAcentral lists this ribosomal RNA (440 nucleotides) under uncultured bacterium. Its description in RNAcentral is "partial 16S ribosomal RNA". It matches the Rfam family "Bacterial small subunit ribosomal RNA", at positions 338 to 795 of the family's 1533-position model. The record is from RNAcentral.
CCUACGGGAGGCAGCAGUGGGGAAUAUUGGACAAUGGGGGAAACCCUGAUCCAGCGACGCCGCGUGAGUGAAGAAGUAUUUCGGUACGUAAAGCUCUAUCAGCAGGAAAGAAAAUGACGGUACCUGACUAAGAAGCCCCGGCUAACUACGUGCCAGCAGCCGCGGUAAUACGUAGGGGGCAAGCGUUAUCCGGAUUUACUGGGUGUAAAGGGAGCGUAGACGGCAGCGCAAGUCUGGAGUGAAAUGGCGGGGCCCAACCCCGGAACUGCUCGGGAAACUGUGAAGCUGGAGUGCGGGCGAGGUAGGCGGAAUUCGUGGUGUAGCGGUGAAAUGCGUAGAUAUCAGGAGGAACACCGGCGGCGAAGGCGGCUUGCUGGACUGUAACUGACGUUGAGGCUCGAAGGCGUGGGGAGCAAACAGGAUUAGAUACCCUAGUAGUC